Patella vulgata (common limpet) is the source of this 1345-nucleotide long non-coding RNA. RefSeq lists it as uncharacterized. The record is from RefSeq and is a predicted model, not a curated record. Lineage: Eukaryota; Metazoa; Mollusca; Gastropoda; Patellidae. The transcript has 3 exons.
CAGUUCUUUUGUGCACAUAUACAAAGCUGACAUAAUACCCCUUGUACUUUUAAUAAGUGGGUUUGAAUUUUUACCUGCCGGUGUCUUUACUGUUGUGAUAGAGUCGAGGGCGCUAUUACAAGAACAAGAAGUACAGACAAUAUAAUAAUAGCCUUGUACAGGGAUACAAAUUGGACUGGAGAAUAUGGCGAGUGAUGUGAUGAGCUUGGCGUCUGCUAUGAAGAUGGGGUUAUCAUUGCUAACGGAACUAAUAGAGAACAGACAAAAUUUGGUGCAAUUGCUUCGAGGAGAAGCCAUGUCCAUGAACAAAAUGGAUAAAGAUGUAAAGAUCAGUAAACUAACUGGUAGUAUGGCUGGUGUCGUGGGGGGUGCCAUGUGGGUUGCAGGAAUGUUAGGAGCACCCUUGGUUCUAUGGGCACUAUGACUAGUAUUGGAGCCUCCAUUUGUAAAUACUUUAUUACUCAAAAGACACGCACGAAAAUGAACACUAUUCUGAAGAAUGACGAACAGUUGAUGACCAGACUGUUUGACUUCAUGGAAAUGGCGAAUGAUGUUGGGAGUUUAGAUAAUCAAAGUGCAGAAUGGGUGGUUAAACAAAUUUAUAUAUCGUUCUUUUUUCGUGAUGCAAUUGUCGAGGUUUCCGUAGCCCCUAAAAUGUUUGCGCAAGCCGCUAAAAAAAUGGCAAUAGCCAUAUCAAUGCCCUUUGAUAUAUACACGAUUAUAUCUACUUCAGUAGAUAUGUACAAAGGAAAACAGAAUGAAUUGGCUAUACAAUUCUUACAAAAGGCGAAUGAAAUAGAAGACACAAUAAAAGUUCUGACUGAACUGUCAAAAGCAAUUAAAUAGAUAGCUAGAAGCUAUGAAAAUAUAACGCCUCUAAAUAUUUAAAUAGCCAUUGCUAUAGGCCACACAGUCUUUAGAAUAUGAAUUAGAUUAUAGUGAGCACUAGUUUAAUAAUCUUGAUAAUGAAAAGUUGUGAAUGAAAUGUUCUGUAUUUCCAUUUUUACAAAUUUGAUUUAUUUCAUGUAUUAUAACAAUUGUUUUUUGCGUAUAAUAUUUGAAUCUCGCUUUCUCGCUCUCUUAUCCUUAUUUGUCUCAGUAAUUUCGUCUAGAGUACUUAAAAGUGAUAAUUAAAAAUGAAAUAAAGUUUGCACUUAACGGAAUAAGUCAAUGAUAUGGUACCCGAAGAUAAACGAAUUUAUAUUCAAAAUACAGCAUGCAUGAACUUGUAUAUAUACGUAAAUGUAAUAUUGUACAGAGUCGGUGUCUAAUGCUGUUGAUAUAUGUACAUUAUUAUACUAGUGUACAAUGGCCUUUAAUAAAUAAACUAUAAUCAAUGAUUAAA